Long non-coding RNA from Pipra filicauda (Wire-tailed manakin), 2748 nucleotides. RefSeq lists it as uncharacterized. The record is from RefSeq and is a predicted model, not a curated record. NCBI's taxonomy places the organism in Eukaryota, Metazoa, Chordata, Aves, Passeriformes, Pipridae. The transcript is spliced from 3 exons.
UUACAUCUUGAGACAGUAAUACUUUUAAAUACUGUACUCAUUUCUUUCAGUGGUCUGCAAAUUUUUUUUUUUGCAAGUCAGUAAGUUGGGAUUGAAGUUACAGGUCAAGCUGUAAAGUUCUCAACUAUCACAUUUAAAAUCUGAUUCAUUUUUUUUUAAUGCUCAAGAUUUCCACUUAACCCAGCAAGAGUCUUACAGAGAGAUUCUAACUUUACAAGCAAGUUUUUCUUUUCAAGGACAGCCAGCAGGGAGCAGCAGAUUAUAGUCCCUGCAGAAAUAGCUGCAUCCCUUGCUAAAAAACCUGAAAAGGUCACUAGUAACAUCUGUUUAUUUCUUGUCUUAGUUACUUGGUUUGAUUCCAAUUCUGGGCAUCAAAGAGAAUUUAUUACAAGGGGAAAAAAAAUGUCCUGUUUUAUCUUUAAAAGGAAAAAAAAACCAAAUUAAUCACUGCAACAAAUAUUAGAAGUUUACUUUGUGCAGCAGAGCUUGCUACUUAUUUAUAAAUCUGAGACUGGGACUAUUCUACAACAAGACAGGCAAAUCACAUGACAGUUAUUGCCUUAAAAUAGUGAAGUAGUCAAAAAAGGAAAGCUUAUUUCUAGCUGGUCACUCAUCUCUAGAGAAAGAGAUGUUUUUUCCACCCACAACUGUAGUGGAAGUUCUUUUAGCCUUUUCUGAUACACAAAAAGGCUUCAAAAAUUCAACUUUGCAUUGGUAAUUUAAUGUCUGUCCAACCUGCCUCUCAAGGCAGGUAUAUACAUACUAUUAGCAACUUGUAGCCAAGUCUCAGACUCGAGACAGUGAAACAUGAAGGAAAUGCAGCCCAGCUUCUUCCACACCUCUUGGCAUCCUCCUGCAAUGCUGUCCAGGCUCCCAAGCCCUACCUGAGACCUACACCUCUGGCUCCUCCAAGCAGAGCCCAAUGCAGACACCAACACAGUUACACUGAGCCCCUGUGCUUGCCUAGGGCAGAGCCACCAGCUCACCAGCACAGCCUCAACAGCUGGGGCUCCUCACCUCAGCUCUCCUCCACAACCUCCAGGCAGAAGCGACUGCAGGUUUCAGCUGCCGCUUAACUGCAAGUGAGCACAACUACCAACACAGCCUUCUAGUUUCAAGAGUAACAACAUUAAGCACAACUCCUCAUCUAUCAAGGUACUGCCAUGAGCUAAGUUCUGGGAACAGGAACUGGCGUUUUACUAACACAUAAGCUGAAGAAUGGCACAAGACACUAGAUUACGCCUUUUUUAUUUCAAAAGCUAGGAUAGCUUCAAUAUCCAUGUCAUGGUGAAUCAGAACACAUGUAAAAUACCUUACAAUACAUUAGAUUCCAAAAAGGUACCAAAAAGUACAGUAAAAUUAACACUUCCAUUACAGGAAAUGUAUGACACAAAAACAAUACAAAAUAAAAAGGUGGAAAGUGACACUGGUUCCCUAAGAUGCAUCUCAUUCUGUACAACUGGAGUAAUGCAGAGUCCAUAGUUAACUCCAAGAGGCAGUCCCUAGAUGCAGAGCUGCAGCUUUAAGCAGACCCUCAAAAUCAGUUUCAGUUUAACCUAUUAAUAAAAUCAUUAAUUAAUAUCUUCAGCAAUGCUGAAAUUUACACACCACACUGUCUAGACAACUAGUUAUCUGUAAGUAUUAAACAUGUAAAACAUUUCCAGGGAGCUCUUCCAAGUAAGAUGCACAUUUAACAGGCCAUAGAAAUUUAUUGUAAAGUUAAAUUUGGUACAGAACUGAAGUAUCCAUCUACAGCAUUGUAUACAAAACCUAUGCAGUCAUUUUCCAAAAGAGACCAUGCCACUGCAUACCUGAAUAAGUUUGAUCAAUAUGGCUUGUAGUUAUUCUGAUGACCACCACGUCUUGGUGUCUUCCCAUAAUUUGCACUGCCUUGACCUAUGAACAAGAGAACAAAUGCAUUAAACUGCUAAUUAGUUACGUUUGCUUAUACCCAAUACAGUUCUCUUUACUUACUGUAAUCAUAGCCUGGUCCAUAUCCAUAAUACCCAUAUCCUGAAUAAUCAUAGCCUCCAUAGCCACCAUAACCUUGCUGAUAGCCGUAUCCUUGAUUCCCAUAACCCUGGUUCCAGUAAUUGCCAUAACCUUGAUUCCAAUUUUGACUUUGAGCUAUAGAAGGGAAAACCAUCCACAAAAUCCCAUUUUAGUACACACAACUUAUUUAGAAUGUGUCCAUACUAAAGUAGUGUGUGUGGUACUUACCGCCGCCUCUUCCACCUCUGCCUCUUCCUCCAUAGCUACCUCUUCCUCCGCCACUGCUGAACUGUUGCUGCUGGUACACUUCUUUUGGCUGUGCUACCUUAAUCUCGCACUGAAAAUAAAAAAGGAAGAGUAUGUAAGGUGUCUUAGAGCAGCAGCACCCACCCUGAGCUCCUGGGAAAUCCAGAGGUUCCUCUGGAGGCAAAGGAGGUGGACACGCUGUGCUCCUGCCAGUCUCCCCAUGGAAGAGGUGCUGAUGCCACCACUCCUGUAGGCUGCCAGGAAGACUCUGAGCCUUGUUCAUUCAGUGCAGCUCAGGUGAAGUCUGAUAGCAACAGCCUUGUCUUGGAGGUUGUGCCAGGUUCCCAGGCUGCAGCUCAAGCUGUCAGUCAGCUGCCUGGUUCCUGAAUCUGUGCACAGUCCAAGAUGAAAGCUACUGCUGCUGCAAAAGGAACAACAGCACCUGAGCAAGUCUGGCCUGGAGUUCUUCACCACAGGACCUUUAAGGUAACCUGUUUUUUAUUAACACUA